This 252-nucleotide ribosomal RNA is filed under the name uncultured bacterium. RNAcentral's name for it is "partial 16S ribosomal RNA". It matches the Rfam family "Bacterial small subunit ribosomal RNA", at positions 524 to 776 of the family's 1533-position model. The record is from RNAcentral.
UACGGAGGAUGCGAGCGUUAUCCGGAUUUAUUGGGUUUAAAGGGUGCGUAGGCGGGCUUUUAAGUCAGCGGUAAAAAUUCGGGGCUCAACCCCGUCCGGCCGUUGAAACUGGGGGCCUUGAGUGGGCGAGAAGAAGGCGGAAUGCGUGGUGUAGCGGUGAAAUGCAUAGAUAUCACGCAGAACCCCGAUUGCGAAGGCAGCCUUCCGGCGCCCUACUGACGCUGAGGCACGAAAGUGUGGGGAUCGAACAGG